GGUUGAUGAUUCAGUGGUAGAAUUCUUGCCUUCCAUGUGGGCGACCCAGGUUCAAUUCCCAGUCAACACA
Molecule: transfer RNA, 70 nt
Filed under: Loxodonta africana (African savanna elephant)
Lineage: Eukaryota; Metazoa; Chordata; Mammalia; Proboscidea; Elephantidae
Rfam family: tRNA
About the family: Transfer RNA (tRNA) molecules are approximately 80 nucleotides in length.
Source: Rfam by way of RNAcentral